AUACGGAGGAUCCGAGCGUUAUCCGGAUUUAUUGGGUUUAAAGGGAGCGUAGGUGGAUUGUUAAGUCAGUUGUGGAAGUUUGCGGCUCAACCGUAAAAUUGCAGUUGAAACUGGCAGUCUUGAGUACAGUAGAGGUGGGCGGAAUUCGUGGUGUAGCGGUGAAAUGCUUAGAUAUCACGAAGAACUCCGAUUGCGAAGGCAGCUCACUAGACUGUUACUGACACUGAUGCUCGAAAGUGUGGGUAUCAAACAGGAUUAGAUACCCUGGUAGUCCACACAGUAAACGAUGAAUACUCGCUGUUUGCGAUAUACAGUAAGCGGCCAAGCGAAAGCAUUAAGUAUUCCACCUGGGGAGUACGCCGGCAACGGUGAAACUCAAAGGAAUUGACGGGG
RNAcentral lists this ribosomal RNA (393 nucleotides) under uncultured bacterium. RNAcentral describes it as "partial 16S ribosomal RNA". It matches the Rfam family "Bacterial small subunit ribosomal RNA", at positions 523 to 918 of the family's 1533-position model. The record is from RNAcentral.